GAUGAAGAACGUAGUGAAAUGCGAUACUUGGUGUGAAUUGCAGAAUCCCGUGAACCAUCGAGUCUUUGAACGCAAGUUGCGCCCGAAGCCACUAGGCCGAGGGCACGCCUGCCUGGGCGUCACACGUCGUUGCCCCCCCAUCUACUCCUUCGGGAUUGCGGGGGGGCGGAUGAUGGCCUCCCGUGCGCCUAGCCGCGCGGUUGGCAUAAAUACCAAGUCCUCGGCGACGCACGCCACGACAAUCGGUGGUUGCGAAACCUCGGUUGCCCGUCGUGUGCGUUCGUCGCGCAUCGAGGGCUCGAAAAAAUGCUCGGCUCCGGCUGGGCUUUCAACGCGACCCCAGGUCAAGCGGGGUUACCCGCUGAAUUUAAGCAUAUCAAUAAGCGGAGGA
RNAcentral lists this unclassified non-coding RNA (391 nucleotides) under soil metagenome. RNAcentral describes it as "partial contains 5.8S ribosomal RNA, internal transcribed spacer 2, and large subunit ribosomal RNA". The stretch from base 1 to 122 matches the Rfam family "5.8S ribosomal RNA", at positions 35 to 154 of the family's 154-position model. The record is from RNAcentral.